This 85-nucleotide transfer RNA is filed under the name Felis catus (domestic cat). It matches the Rfam family "tRNA". From Rfam's summary of the family: Transfer RNA (tRNA) molecules are approximately 80 nucleotides in length. Their secondary structure includes four short double-helical elements and three loops (D, anti-codon, and T loops). Lineage: Eukaryota; Metazoa; Chordata; Mammalia; Carnivora; Felidae. The record is from Rfam by way of RNAcentral. RNAcentral also lists the same sequence under 6 other names.
GCCUGGGUGGCUCAGUCGGUUGAGCGUCUGACUUCGGCUCAGGUCAUGAUCUCGCGGUCCGUGAGUUCGAGCCCCGCGUCGGGCU